This 92-nucleotide non-coding RNA is filed under the name bovine gut metagenome. Its description in RNAcentral is "THF riboswitch". It matches the Rfam family "THF (Tetrahydrofolate) riboswitch aptamer". Rfam says of the family: THF riboswitch presents a pseudoknot that joins P1-P2 and the loop of P3 and two THF binding. The record is from RNAcentral.
GAGUAGGAAUGGCGCGUCAAGUACCGGCGGAUGGGAGGUUGCCGCCGGGCGAAGGGGCGGUUCGCUCCGCGGUGCCAUUAUCGCAUCCGCUA